GACGAACGCUGGCGGCGUGCUUAACACAUGCAAGUCGAACGGAAAGGCCCUGCUUUUGUGGGGUGCUCGAGUGGCGAACGGGUGAGUAACACGUGAGUAACCUGCCCUUGACUUUGGGAUAACUUCAGGAAACUGGGGCUAAUACCGGAUAGGAGCUCCUGCUGCAUGGUGGGGGUUGGAAAGCUUCGGCGGUCGGGGAUGGACUCGCGGCUUAUCAGCUUGUUGGUGGGGUAGUGGCUUACCAAGGCUUUGACGGGUAGCCGGCCUGAGAGGGUGACCGGCCACAUUGGGACUGAGAUACGGCCCAGACUCCUACGGGAGGCAGCAGUGGGGAAUAUUGCACAAUGGGCGGAAGCCUGAUGCAGCAACGCCGCGUGCGGGAUGACGGCCUUCGGGUUGUAAACCGCUUUCGCCUGUGACGAAGCGUGAGUGACGGUAAUGGGUAAAGAAGCACCGGCUAACUACGUG
This 468-nucleotide ribosomal RNA is filed under the name uncultured bacterium. Its description in RNAcentral is "partial 16S ribosomal RNA". It matches the Rfam family "Bacterial small subunit ribosomal RNA", at positions 28 to 507 of the family's 1533-position model. The record is from RNAcentral.